This 794-nucleotide ribosomal RNA is filed under the name uncultured bacterium. RNAcentral describes it as "bacterial SSU rRNA". It matches the Rfam family "Bacterial small subunit ribosomal RNA", at positions 8 to 796 of the family's 1533-position model. The record is from RNAcentral.
AGAGUUUGAUCAUGGCUCAGAUUGAACGCUGGCGGAAUGCUUUACACAUGCAAGUCGAGCGGCAGCGCGGGGCAACCUGGCGGCGAGCGGCGAACGGGGUGAGUAAUGCAUCGGAACAUGUCCAUGUCGUGGGGGGAUAGCCCGGCGAAAGCCGGAUUAAUACCGCAUAAGCCCGAGAGGGGAAAGUGGGGGACCGCAAGGCCUCACGCGAUUGGGUUGGCCGAUGUCCGAUUAGCUAGUUGGCGGGGUAAGAGCCCACCAAGGCGAUGAUCGGUAGCUGGUCUGAGAGGAUGAUCAGCCACACUGGGACUGAGACACGGCCCAGACUCCUACGGGAGGCAGCAGUGGGGAAUUUUGGACAAUGGGGGCAACCCUGAUCCAGCCAUUCCGCGUGAGUGAAGAAGGCCUUCGGGUUGUAAAGCUCUUUUGUCCGGAACGAAACGGUUACAGCGAAUACCUGUGACUACUGACGGUACCGGAAGAAUAAGCACCGGCUAACUACGUGCCAGCAGCCGCGGUAAUACGUAGGGUGCGAGCGUUAAUCGGAAUUACUGGGCGUAAAGCGUGCGCAGGCGGUUUUGUAAGCCAGAUGUGAAAUCCCCGGGCUUAACCUGGGAAUGGCAUUUGGGACUGCAAGGCUGGAGUUUGGCAGAGGAGACUGGAAUUCCUGGUGUAGCAGUGAAAUGCGUAGAUAUCAGGAGGAAUACCGAUGGCGAAGGCAGGUCUCUGGGCUAUAACUGACGCUCAUGCACGAAAGCGUGGGGAGCAAACAGGAUUAGAUACCCUAGUAGUCC